RNAcentral lists this transfer RNA (71 nucleotides) under Loxodonta africana (African savanna elephant). It matches the Rfam family "tRNA". From Rfam's summary of the family: Transfer RNA (tRNA) molecules are approximately 80 nucleotides in length. Their secondary structure includes four short double-helical elements and three loops (D, anti-codon, and T loops). Lineage: Eukaryota; Metazoa; Chordata; Mammalia; Proboscidea; Elephantidae. The record is from Rfam by way of RNAcentral.
GCAGCGGUAAUUCAGUGGUAGAAUUCUUACCUUCCAUGCAAGAGACCCGGGUUUGAUUCCCAGCCAACGCA